GCGGGCGUAGCUCAGGUGGUAGAGCAUCAGCUUCCCAAGCUGAGGGUCGCGGGUUCGAGUCCCGUCGCCCGCUCCA
This 76-nucleotide transfer RNA is filed under the name Thermovibrio ammonificans HB-1. Its description in RNAcentral is "tRNA-Gly (CCC) (tRNA-Gly-CCC-1-1)". It matches the Rfam family "tRNA". From Rfam's summary of the family: Transfer RNA (tRNA) molecules are approximately 80 nucleotides in length. Their secondary structure includes four short double-helical elements and three loops (D, anti-codon, and T loops). Further hydrogen bonds mediate the characteristic L-shaped molecular structure. tRNAs have two regions of fundamental functional importance: the anti-codon, which is responsible for specific mRNA codon recognition, and the 3' end, to which the tRNAs corresponding amino acid is attached (by aminoacyl-tRNA synthetases). tRNAs cope with the degeneracy of the genetic code in two manners: having more than one tRNA (with a specific anti-codon) for a particular amino acid; and 'wobble' base-pairing, i.e. permitting non-standard base-pairing at the 3rd anti-codon position. RNAcentral also lists the same sequence under 1 other name. The record is from RNAcentral. Lineage: Bacteria; Pseudomonadati; Aquificota; Aquificia; Desulfurobacteriales; Desulfurobacteriaceae.